UGUCUCAGCCUCCUGAGUAGCUGGGAUUAGGUGCGCGCCACCAUGCCUGGCUAAUUUUUGUAUUUUUAGUAGAGAUGGGGUUUCACCAUAUUGGUUAGGCUGGUCUCAAACUCCUGACCUCAGGAGAUCCACCUGCCUCAGCCUUCCAAAGUGCUGGGAUUACAGGUGUGAGCCACCACGCUCAGCUGACAUUUGGUUAUUUUGAUUUUUUUGUUAUAUUACAAAUAAUGUUAUUAAAACACUUGUGAUACAAGUGUCUCUUCGGGUCAUGGGCACACAAUUCAGUUGGGUAUAAAGCUAAGAAUGGAAUCAUUGGGUCAUAGGGUAUGCAUAUCUUCAACUUCACUGGAAAAUAUCAGUUCCCAAAGUAGUAAUUGCCUAAAUUUACAUUCUCAUCAGCAGUGUAUUAAAGUUUCCAUGGCUCCUCAUACUUGCUAACACUUGGUAUUGUCAGCUGCCUUUGUUUUAGCCAUCUGGGUGUAUGUCCUUAUUCUUUGAAUAUGAAUUUCCUUGAUUACUAAUGAGGAUAAACCCUUUUUCAUUACAUAUAUGUGAAUACACAUAUACAUAAAUAUAUACAGUAUACAUACUGUAUAUGUGUAUAUGAAAACAUAUACAUACAUAAAUAUAUAUGUAUAUAUACUGUACAUAUUAGGCUAUCUGGAGUUCUUCUUUUCUGAAUUGCCUGUUCAAGUCUCUUGCUCAUUUUUCUGUUGAGUUGUCUGUUUUUUCUUAAUGGUGCAUAGCUCUCCUGUAUGUAUUUUGUAUUUAACUGACAGCUGUUUUGCAAAUAUAUUCUCCCAGUUGUGGUUUGCUUUUUCACUCUAUUAAUGAUUGUUUUUGGUAAAGAGAAAUUCUUAAAUGUUUAAUGCUAAUAUAAUAAGAUCUAUUUAACCUUU
This 899-nucleotide long non-coding RNA is filed under the name Pan troglodytes (chimpanzee). RNAcentral's name for it is "lincRNA". The record is from RNAcentral. Lineage: Eukaryota; Metazoa; Chordata; Mammalia; Primates; Hominidae.